UUGAACGCUGGCGGCAUGCCUAACACAUGCAAGUCGAACGGUAACGCGGAGAGCUUGCUCUCUGGCGACGAGUGGCGGACGGGUGAGUAAUACUUAGGAAUCUGCCCAGUAUGGGGGACAACAUUCGGAAACGGAUGCUAAUACCGCAUACGCACUACGGUGGAAAGUGGGGGACCUUCGGGCCUCACGCUAUUGGAUGAGCCUAAGUCGGAUUAGCUUGUUGGUGAGGUAAUAGCUCACCAAGGCGACGAUCCGUAGCUGGUCUGAGAGGACGAUCAGCCACACUGGGACUGAGACACGGCCCAGACUCCUACGGGAGGCAGCAGUGGGGAAUAUUGGACAAUGGGCGCAAGCCUGAUCCAGCAAUGCCGCGUGUGUGAAGAAGGCCUGCGGGUUGUAAAGCACUUUCAGUAGAGAAGAAAAGCCUAGGGUUAAUACCCCUGAGUCUUGACGUAACCUACAGAAGAAGCACCGGCUAACUCCGUG
RNAcentral lists this ribosomal RNA (486 nucleotides) under uncultured bacterium. RNAcentral describes it as "bacterial SSU rRNA". It matches the Rfam family "Bacterial small subunit ribosomal RNA", at positions 30 to 507 of the family's 1533-position model. The record is from RNAcentral.